UUUCAAGUAACACAAAUUCGACGAAAACGCUUAUAUCGAUCGUUCUAAUUGUAUAAAAGCUUAGUUUUUGAAACGAUGAUGACACGAACAAUGAGAAAUAAAGAUGAUCUUGUUAAAACAAAAAUAUAAUGAAAGGAAAUUUAUUGAAAUAAGGAAUAUAAACAUGUGUCUUGUCAAUUGACUUAACAAGUGAUUGUUCGUAGCUUUCGCUACGUGAUUGGAUAGUGUUAGCUUAGAUCUUAGUUUAGCAUCGAUGAACGAAUGAACGAAUGAACGAACGAACGGACACCUGCACGCCUUCGAUCGUACGUAACAUCAGGCCUACUCUGUGCAUAUCCUCUUACUGCCCCCUUGCUAGCUUGCUUGCUUUCUCGGGAGGCCGUCGAUCCUCUUGCAGAGGGUCCGUCAGGAAGAGUACUUGUGUAAGAAGCAAAAAAAAAGAAAAAAGAUAGAAAGUACAAUCAAGAAAAGGAAGAUAGAAGAUAAAAAAUCGGAGAAGGAGUCAAGGAAAGAGAACCGGCACCGAAAUGGAGUAUACCAGUAUAGUCGAGAAUAAAAGGGGGAGAGGGGGGACAGAAAGUAGAGAGAGAAAGAGAGAUAGCGAAUUAUAACCAAUGGUAUAAAUGCAAGCAGGAUAAAGAUAGAACUAAGCCCGACAAAGAAGAACAAGAACAAGAAGAAGACGAACGAACGAACGAAGGAACGAACUGCAGCAGGGCUCAUUUUAGCGAAUGAAAAAGAGAAGGAAGGAAGGAAGGAAGGAAGGAACAAAGAACAAUUUUUUCGACGAAUGCAUCACAACCAUCAUCGCCGGAAUGCGUGCCCUCCUCUACCCCCACCACCCUGCAACACACUGACGUAGUUAUACCUAUACAACACACACAUAUAUUCAACUUUUAUGGUUACUUCGAUGUUCCUCCAUAUUUCUGGGUUAAAACCACAGCCAUUGUGCAUGGCCGUGAGACAGCAAGGAAAGAAAGGUGAUUGGUAAAAAAAUAUUCCAAGAAGGAAGAAAGGAAGGAAGGAAGGAACACGUGAAAAUAAAUUACAAUUCGAGUAUGGUGUCUCAAAUGAUUCCCUGUUGAAUAUUAGUCCUAGACAACGAUGAUGAAGAAAAUGGGGUCAAGAUACUAGUGUAUCUAGUUGCGUUAAUGACGAUUCGUAUCGUAUGUUACCCACUAACAUAAAAACUAAAAUGUCUGGUGCAUUUCGGUGCAUUUGAACGUCUCUCUGCCAUGAAACUCACUCACUCACUCACGCAUUCACGCACGCACGUACUUUCGAGGACUCGGAUAUUUUAAAAACGAAUGACGACGAUGACGACGACGACGAUGAUGACGAUGAAGAAGAAGAAGAAGAAGAAGACACGAGGUGUGGUAGUGGUGUAGUAUUUUCGCGGCCCGUUUGAACAGCUGCGCAAAUAAGCAAGCAAGCAAGCAAGCAAACGAAUAUGUUCACGUUAGUUUUUAGGCACUGAUUCUUGUCUCCUAACAUUUAUGAAUAUUUUUUGUAUAAUAAAAUGUGGCAUUUUAAAUGCAACGAUAAGAAAAUGAUA
RNAcentral lists this long non-coding RNA (1555 nucleotides) under Polistes canadensis. RNAcentral's name for it is "uncharacterized LOC106786839". The record is from RNAcentral. Lineage: Eukaryota; Metazoa; Arthropoda; Insecta; Hymenoptera; Vespidae.